AGAGUGAACGCUGGCGGCAGGCCUAACACAUGCAAGUCGAACGGCAGCGCAGCAGUAGCAAUACUGUGGGCGGCGAGUGGCGGACGGGUGAGGAAUACAUCGGAAUCUACCUUGUCGUGGGGGAUAACGUAGGGAAACUUACGCUAAUACCGCAUACGAACUAUGGUUGAAAGCGGCGGACCGCAAGGCGUCGCGCGAUUGGAUGAGCCGAUGUCCGAUUAGCUAGUUGGCGGGGUAAAGGCCCACCAAGGCGACGAUCGGUAGCUGGUCUGAGAGGAUGAUCAGCCACACUGGAACUGAGACACGGUCCAGACUCCUACGGGAGCAGCAGUGGGGAAUCUUGCGCAAU
This 349-nucleotide ribosomal RNA is filed under the name uncultured soil bacterium. RNAcentral describes it as "bacterial SSU rRNA". It matches the Rfam family "Bacterial small subunit ribosomal RNA", at positions 26 to 372 of the family's 1533-position model. The record is from RNAcentral.